RNAcentral lists this ribosomal RNA (301 nucleotides) under uncultured bacterium. RNAcentral describes it as "partial 16S ribosomal RNA". It matches the Rfam family "Bacterial small subunit ribosomal RNA", at positions 509 to 807 of the family's 1533-position model. The record is from RNAcentral.
CAGUCGCCACGGUAAUACGUAGGUGGCGAGCGUUGUCCGGAUUUAUUGGGCGUAAAGGGAGUGUAGGCGGUCUUUUAAGUCUGAUGUGAAAGCCCACGGCUCAACCGUGGAGGGUCAUUGGAAACUGGGAGACUUGAGUGCAGAAGAGGAGAGCGGAAUUCCAUGUGUAGCGGUGAAAUGCGUAGAUAUAUGGAGGAACACCAGUGGCGAAGGCGGCUCUCUGGUCUGUAACUGACGCUGAGGCGCGAAAGCCAGGGGAGCGAACGGGAUUAGAUACCCCAGUAGUCCCUGUCUCUUAUAC